ACGGCGGCGCUUUGCUCCAAUCCUCCUGCCUUUUCCCAUUAACCGUCUUCUUCAAUUAUCAAUAGCACCACCACUAUUAUCUUCAAUUAGCACCACCAUCACCGCUCAACGAAUGGGUUAUAAAUUGAAUAUGGGUUUCGUGUCUCAUACACCCUGGAGGGAGGGAGAGGAAAUGAUUUUGAUAAUAAUCAGUAUGAGCGGAAUCGGAAAUGGGUUUUAUGUGAUGGUUUUGCUUACUUGUCUCGACAAGGACGAAGGCGGGAGGGGGCCUUUCUUUAAUGGUGGGUGGGAUGAAUUCAUACUGAUUGCAAGUCCCCAUCACAGUUGUAAAAUGCCCCGCAGUGAGGAAGCUGUCGAAGAACAGGAAUGGGUAGUGAGAUCUAAAGCAGACAGCAUUAGUUUUAAGAUUGUUAUUCAAGGGUUUGUUCUAAAUGAUCCAUUUCAAUGAAGAGGGCAGAAAGUGUCACAGUGUUAUAUGUGGUUUUGGGAAGCAGAAAGCUCGUAUGUAUACAUCGGGUUUAGCCAAAUAACACUGCUGAUAGGGGCUAGGCUUCCUUUCUCUGAAAACCUUUGGGACACUAUUAACACGUAUAACAUCAUCGGUAUCAUUUACAACAUGCUGGAGAGAAGUCUCAAUUGCAUGACUGGAUGAUUCAGCCUCAUCAUGAUCAACUUGGAAGCAAAUUCCAAAAUUAGUGUGUACAAGUUGAAGAAGUAAAUGGAAAGUUCAGUACAGAAGUAUAAUAGAGCUGCAUUCCUGUCAUCAAAAGAAUUUUAAUGGAUGGUUAAGAGCUUCAGUUAGAGAACUGUCCAAAUUAUUGCAACCAAAAUGUAUAUGCGUCUAAGCCGAUAGGGGCAGUUUGAAGUAUAUAUGAUUUCUGCUCAUCCCCUGAGUACGUUUCAAGCUGGCUGAAUUUCCACAUGCUCACAGAAAAUUAGAGACACAACAAGAUAUUUAUUCGCUGUAUCCUUCUUACAAGAUCAUAUUAUUCUCCUCCUGGUAGAGAGAAUAGACGUAAACAAAGUUCUGUUGUGGUAUGAAGGAAACAUCCUUUGUGAUUAGACCCCCUAAACUGCAACCUCAGAAAAAGUUGGGAAUGAUCAUGCUGUGAGCAUCCAAGAUUUUCAGGCGAAUUCUGUACAUGAAGAAUAAUGUUUCGUUGAAGACUUCAAGAGGCAAUUGCUAGAUGUGGAUCCAAGGAGUUGGAGAGUAAUCUUGCUGUCGGUAGAAUCAAGAUUUUGUCGAUUGAUUCGCUCAAGAGUGAAAUAACAUCUAAUUGGUGCUGCUACGACUUACAAAGUUCAUCAUUACGAUGAAACAGAAGGGACCCAAGUAAUUUGCCAGCGGAGAGCUAAUGCUACCACUUCAAUUGAUUUCUUAUUGAUUGUGAUAUGUGCAUCUGUGUACCAAGCAGUUAGAGUGGUUUUUAGGUAGUUACUACGGGUGGUUAUGGAGUCUGCCUAUAUAUAUUAUUGUGUAAGAACGUAAUGGUUAUCUAUGAAAAUGGUGAUAUUCUAGAGCAUGGCUCUGUAUCUGAUUCUUCUUCUCUGAUUCUGUGAUUCGUCUUUCUUCGCAUCUGAUAAUUCUUCCCUUUGCUUCGUCUAAUUUCACCCUGAUCGCUGAAUGAUAUGUUUGCACAUAUCAGAUUGAUGAGAGGUUUGUUCCUCAUACCAAUCUGGGUAUUGGGGGAGUAGCUGUUCUCAUUCAUUUUAAUGAAAGAGGGCAAAAGGGCUGCAGAGGAUCUGAGGAGGGAAGAGGCAUUGCCCAAUGAAACUAGGAGCCAUCCGAUCUUAUAAGAUUGAGCAGGAUAAAAAGGAGCUGGUGGCAAGGUCCUGGAACUCUAAGAUCCACUAAAAAGCUUAGCAGCGUUAUAUGUGGUUUUGGGAAGCAGAAAGUUCGUAUAUAUACAGUGGGUUUAGCCAAAUUACACUGCUGAUAGGGGACAGGCUUCCAUUCUCUGAAAACCUUUCGGACAGUAUUAACAUGAACAACGUCAUCGAUAUCAUUUACAACACGGUGGUGAGUAGUCUAAUUUGCAUUUCCUGAUGAUUCAGCCUCCUCAUGAUCAACUUGGAAGCAAAUUCCAAAAUUACUAUGUGAAGUUGAAGAAGAAAAUGGAAAUCUCAGUACAAAGCCGCAUUCCUGUCAUCAAAAGAAUUUGUAGGAAAUUAGAAGCUUCUUACAGAGGUGGAAGCAUCCUGUACCUGAUGUAUCUGAUACAUCCCUUAGUUUGUGUCGUCACAAAUCAAAUUUGUUAAAAUGUCAAAUGCAGAAAAAAGGCCGGAGGAGGCCCGGAACUGCAAACCGUGAACUGUUGUAACGAUUUCGUAGUCUUGAAAGGAUGUAGGAGGUUUUUUUCUUAGAAUUUGUAGCGAGGCGGUUCUCAAGCUUGCUGUAGUUUGGUAAAAGCAACAAAGUUUUGUGUUGGACAAGAUGGUAGUGGUUUUCUCUACAGAGGAUUCUUUGUUACAUUUGAUUGAUGUUAGAUGAUGAGAUGUCUGGAAUAGAAACAAAAUUUUAAACCUCUGUAUAUUAGCUUGACAUUCUCUGGGAAGGGUUUUAAAGGUGAGAGGAUUCAGGGCAAGAUUUCUUGUUCACAGACCAAGUGAACUGGUACUCUUUAACAGGUUCGGCAGUUUGGCACUGUGGCCGGUAUAAGUUAUAUAUGCUUGUGCUCUAACAUGAAUGUGGUAUGGACUAUGGAGCUCAGUAAACGUGUGCUGUACUUUUCAAAUUUAACCGAAGUGAAUGUUCGGUUAGAGAAGAUAAUGAAGUGUCUACGAAUUUAAAAUUUCAACACCCA
Molecule: long non-coding RNA, 2804 nt
Organism: Papaver somniferum (opium poppy)
Lineage: Eukaryota; Viridiplantae; Streptophyta; Magnoliopsida; Ranunculales; Papaveraceae
Exons: 11
Source: RefSeq, a predicted model, not a curated record